GACUGUUUGAUAACAUUGAGAUCAAAGGAGGAAAGGGAUAAGAUUUUGGGCCUACAUCCCAAAAUCUUAUCCCUUUCCUCCUUUGAUCUCAAUGUUAUCAAACAGUCU
Non-coding RNA from Podarcis lilfordi (Lilford's wall lizard), 108 nucleotides. The record is from the annotation of a GenBank genome assembly. Lineage: Eukaryota; Metazoa; Chordata; Lepidosauria; Squamata; Lacertidae.